Molecule: ribosomal RNA, 743 nt
Filed under: Acinetobacter baumannii OIFC083
Lineage: Bacteria; Pseudomonadati; Pseudomonadota; Gammaproteobacteria; Moraxellales; Moraxellaceae
Description: bacterial SSU rRNA
Rfam family: Bacterial small subunit ribosomal RNA
Source: RNAcentral
AUUGAACGCUGGCGGCAGGCUUAACACAUGCAAGUCGAGCGGGGGAAGGUAGCUUGCUACUGGACCUAGCGGCGGACGGGUGAGUAAUGCUUAGGAAUCUGCCUAUUAGUGGGGGACAACAUCUCGAAAGGGAUGCUAAUACCGCAUACGUCCUACGGGAGAAAGCAGGGGAUCUUCGGACCUUGCGCUAAUAGAUGAGCCUAAGUCGGAUUAGCUAGUUGGUGGGGUAAAGGCCUACCAAGGCGACGAUCUGUAGCGGGUCUGAGAGGAUGAUCCGCCACACUGGGACUGAGACACGGCCCAGACUCCUACGGGAGGCAGCAGUGGGGAAUAUUGGACAAUGGGGGGAACCCUGAUCCAGCCAUGCCGCGUGUGUGAAGAAGGCCUUAUGGUUGUAAAGCACUUUAAGCGAGGAGGAGGCUACUUUAGUUAAUACCUAGAGAUAGUGGACGUUACUCGCAGAAUAAGCACCGGCUAACUCUGUGCCAGCAGCCGCGGUAAUACAGAGGGUGCGAGCGUUAAUCGGAUUUACUGGGCGUAAAGCGUGCGUAGGCGGCUUAUUAAGUCGGAUGUGAAAUCCCCGAGCUUAACUUGGGAAUUGCAUUCGAUACUGGUGAGCUAGAGUAUGGGAGAGGAUGGUAGAAUUCCAGGUGUAGCGGUGAAAUGCGUAGAGAUCUGGAGGAAUACCGAUGGCGAAGCAGCCAUCUGGCCUAAUACUGACGCUGAGUACGAAAGCAUGGGGA